Molecule: unclassified non-coding RNA, 148 nt
Filed under: uncultured Ascomycota
Lineage: Eukaryota; Fungi; Ascomycota
Description: sequence contains ITS2
Source: RNAcentral
CAUACUUCAAGCUUCUGCUUGGUGUUGAAUGGUAUCUCAUUGAUUCAUUCCAAACUCAUUGGCAUUUGUCCUUUGGUCUAUUGCGUGACAGAAAUCUCUCGCUAUUUGACGAAGCAACAAAUUGCCGGUUUAGUUGGCAACAACGAAU